Molecule: small nucleolar RNA, 210 nt
Organism: Nannospalax galili (Upper Galilee mountains blind mole rat)
Lineage: Eukaryota; Metazoa; Chordata; Mammalia; Rodentia; Spalacidae
Gene: U3
Rfam family: Small nucleolar RNA U3
About the family: Small nucleolar RNAs (snoRNAs) are involved in the processing and modification of rRNA in the nucleolus.
Source: Ensembl
AAUACUGUACUUUCAGGGAUCAUUUCUAUAAUUUGUUACUAGAGAAGUUUCUCUGACUAUGUGCCAGAAACCAUGAGGAAGAGAUACAGUGUUCUCUCCCGAGCAUGAAGCUGGCUUGGGUGUUGCUCUUAGGCAGCUGUCUUUUGCCAUUAAUGAUUGUUCUGCUUUGCCUCUAGUGGAGUUAGAGGGAGAGAACACAGUCUGAGUGAU